Panicum virgatum (switchgrass) is the source of this 1349-nucleotide long non-coding RNA. RefSeq lists it as uncharacterized. The transcript has 4 exons. The record is from RefSeq and is a predicted model, not a curated record. Lineage: Eukaryota; Viridiplantae; Streptophyta; Magnoliopsida; Poales; Poaceae.
AAAAUCCCUCGCAAACCGAACCCUACCUUCUCCUCCUCUCUCUCCCCUUCCUGCCGCCGCGCGCCGCCCUCUCCCUUCUCGCCCGCGCACGCACGCCUCCUGGCUCGCCGCUGGAUACUCUACUGUCGCUCGAGCAACCGAAUCCGCACAGCCUCGGCGGCACAGGGGAGCGUCUCCCCAGCCGCGUGCAGAUUGGACGGACCUUGUCGGCCAAUGCGGCGGCCAUGGUCCGCGGAGGAGGAAGCGCCCACCCAAUCGCCAUCCUCUUCGUCCGUGCUUCCCUCAGAAGCUGCCCAAGGCUGAGGCUCAGACAUCGCCGAUGCCGUCGCUCUCCAGGAGGCUUGCCGCGGCGGAGGUGGUGUGGAUGUGCUGUCACCUCCAGACUCUCUCGAUCUCCUGCUAAAAGCCCUCAAGAGCAAGAAGUUCACCAGUCUUGAUGUCUUCCGCACCAAGGCAUGAAGUUUCCAACGCGCAUGUUUGGAUGUCCUCCUUUGAUCCAUGCCUUGCAUUGUAGUAUGAAGGUUUGCUCAGCAGGGAUGUCUCCUUCCCCUAUUCUUUUUUUUCUGUCUCUUUGAAUCCUACUUACUCAAUACAUUGAGUCUCGAUUCAUAUGUUUUACAUACUGGGCCGAAAUUAGUUGGAAGCUCCACAUGGUGAUUGGUAAUGUUCUUCUCUAUUGCUUUGGUGCCUUCCAAGUGUUCGAUGAAAUGUUUAGCUAGCAUAUACAACAUUUUUUAUUAUGUUUAGGUUAUCACUGAUGUAACUUUUCCCCUAAAUUUAAGCAACCAUUCUUGCUACCAUGUUAGCAUCUUAACAAGCUGAUAGCUUAUUUUAUUAUUCCUGUUCUUUAUCAGAGUUCCUACAUCCAAUUGGUGCCUCAUUGUUGAUGAACCACGUGGAAGCAUACAGUUCGUGUUUUGGUGAAUUACAUAAAGGUCACCCAAGCACUUGGAAUGAUGCAUGACCUAAGUAAUUUGAUGCCUACAUGAUGCCUUUAUGCUUGAUCCAAGAAACUGCACAUGGCAUGGUCAUCCUAGAUGGAAUUAUAGUUCUGCUGACUAUCAUAACAAACAUAUUUGCAUAGAGGAAGCUACACGGCAUGUAAAAUUCUUCUGUUUACUUUUAGCUUUGUAUAUCCUAGAUAGAGCUACACAUCUUGGUUGUACACUUCCAUCCAUUUAUGUGUCUGCAUAGAUGAACUUUACUUGAUGCAAACACCAAUUGUACCAUAGAGCAAAGUGGUGUAUAUUUUUCUUAAAUAACAAUUAUCAUGUUGAGCACAUUCACGUGUAAGGCAGAGAUUGUAAUGCAUGUUAUAUCUACAAAGAUAGCUUGUCGCUAAUUGUUUC